AGUGAACGCUGGCGGUAGGCCUAACACAUGCAAGUCGAACGGCAGCACAGUAAGAGCUUGCUCUUACGGGUGGCGAGUGGCGGACGGGUGAGGAAUACAUCGGAAUCUACUUUUUCGUGGGGGAUAACGUAGGGAAACUUACGCUAAUACCGCAUACGACCUACGGGUGAAAGCAGGGGAUCUUCGGACCUUGCGCGAUUGAAUGAGCCGAUGUCGGAUUAGCGAGUUGGCGGGGUAAAGGCCCACCAAGGCGACGAUCCGUAGCUGGUCUGAGAGGAUGAACCGCCACACUGGGAGUGAGACACGGUCCUGACUCCUACGGGAGGCACCAGUGGGGAAUAGUGGACAAUGGGCGCAAGCCUGAUCCAGCCAUACCGCGUGGGUGAAGAAGGCCUUCGGGUUGUAAAGCCCUUUUGUUGGGAAAGAAAAGCAGCAGGUUAAUACCCCGCUGUUCUGACGGUACCCAAAGAAUAAGCACCGGCUAACUUCGUG
RNAcentral lists this ribosomal RNA (492 nucleotides) under uncultured bacterium. Its description in RNAcentral is "partial 16S ribosomal RNA". It matches the Rfam family "Bacterial small subunit ribosomal RNA", at positions 29 to 507 of the family's 1533-position model. The record is from RNAcentral.